Molecule: ribosomal RNA, 1035 nt
Filed under: uncultured bacterium
Lineage: Bacteria
Description: bacterial SSU rRNA
Rfam family: Bacterial small subunit ribosomal RNA
Source: RNAcentral
CUCCUACGGGAGGCAGCAGUGGGGAAUAUUGCACAAUGGGCGAAAGCCUGAUGCAGCAACGCCGCGUGAACGAUGAAGGUCUUCGGAUCGUAAAGUUCUGUUGCAGGGGAAGAUAAUGACGGUACCCUGUGAGGAAGCCCCGGCUAACUACGUGCCAGCAGCCGCGGUAAUACGUAGGGGGCUAGCGUUAUCCGGAUUUACUGGGCGUAAAGGGUGCGUAGGUGGUCCUUCAAGUUGGUGGUUAAAGGCUACGGCUCAACCGUAGUAAGCCGCCGAAACUGGAGGACUUGAGUGCAGGAGAGGAAAGUGGAAUUCCCAGUGUAGCGGUGAAAUGCGUAGAUAUUGGGAGGAACACCAGUAGCGAAGGCGGCUUUCUGGACUGCAACUGACACUGAGGCACGAAAGCGUGGGUAGCAAACAGGAUUAGAUACCCUGGUAGUCCACGCUGUAAACGAUGAGUACUAGGUGUCGGGGGUUACCCCCCUCGGUGCCGCAGCUAACGCAUUAAGUACUCCGCCUGGGGAGUACGCACGCAAGUGUGAAACUCAAAGGAAUUGACGGGGACCCGCACAAGUAGCGGAGCAUGUGGUUUAAUUCGAAGCAACGCGAAGAACCUUACCUAAGCUUGACAUCCCUCGGACAGGUGUUUAAUCACACCCUUUCUUCGGGACUGAGGUGACAGGUGGUGCAUGGUUGUCGUCAGCUCGUGUCGUGAGAUGUUGGGUUAAGUCCCGCAACGAGCGCAACCCUUGUCUUUAGUUGCCAGCAUUCAGUUGGGCACUCUAGAGAGACUGCCAGGGAUAACCUGGAGGAAGGUGGGGAUGACGUCAAAUCAUCAUGCCCCUUAUGCUUAGGGCUACACACGUGCUACAAUGGGUGGUACAGAGGGUUGCCAAACCGUGAGGUGGAGCCAAUCCCUUAAAGCCAUUCUCAGUUCGGAUUGUAGGCUGAAACUCGCCUACAUGAAGCUGGAGUUACUAGUAAUCGCAGAUCAGAAUGCUGCGGUGAAUGCGUUCCCGGGUCUUGUACACACGC